This 255-nucleotide ribosomal RNA is filed under the name uncultured bacterium. Its description in RNAcentral is "partial 16S ribosomal RNA". It matches the Rfam family "Bacterial small subunit ribosomal RNA", at positions 524 to 776 of the family's 1533-position model. The record is from RNAcentral.
UACGUAGGGUGCGAGCGUUGUCCGGAAUUAUUGGGCGUAAAGAGCUCGUAGGCGGUGUGUCGCGUCGGCCGUGAAAACCUGGGGCUUAACUCUGGGCGUGCGGUCGAUACGGGCAUCACUGGAGUUCGGCAGGGGAGACUGGAAUUCCUGGUGUAGCGGUGAAAUGCGCAGAUAUCAGGAGGAACACCGGUGGCGAAGGCGGGUCUCUGGGCCGAUGACUGACGCUGAGGAGCGAAAGCGUGGGGAGCGAACAGG